CGCCCCAUCAGAGAGGAAUUUACCUCCAGAGCUUGUUAACUCAGGGAACAAAAACUAGAUUAAAACAGUCCAGGCAUGCAAGAGGAAGACUGUGGAAGUUUCCAAGGCCAGUGGACCCACUGAGAAUCCCAGAACAACCUAUUUCCAUAAAUUGAGGCCAAGUAUGAUAAGAAGAUGAAGAUGCUGAGGGACGAGCUCGACCUGCGGAGAAAGACUGAGCUCCAUGAAGUGGAGGAGAGGAAGAAUGGCCAGAUCAACACGCUGAUGCAGCGCCACGAGGAGGCCUUCACUGACAUUAAGAACUACUACAAUGACAUCACCCUCAACAACCUGGCCCUCAUCAACUCCCUCAAGGAGCAGAUGGAGGACAUGCGGAAGAAGGAGGACCACCUGGAGAGGGAGAUGGCAGAGGUGUCUGUGCAGAACAAGCGCCUGGCAGACCCUCUCCAGAAGGCUCGGGAGGAGAUGAG
This 470-nucleotide small RNA is filed under the name Pongo abelii (Sumatran orangutan). Its description in RNAcentral is "processed transcript". Lineage: Eukaryota; Metazoa; Chordata; Mammalia; Primates; Hominidae. The record is from RNAcentral.